Molecule: ribosomal RNA, 390 nt
Filed under: Salmonella enterica subsp. enterica serovar Infantis
Lineage: Bacteria; Pseudomonadati; Pseudomonadota; Gammaproteobacteria; Enterobacterales; Enterobacteriaceae
Also listed under: 7 other names
Description: partial 23S ribosomal RNA
Rfam family: Bacterial large subunit ribosomal RNA
Source: RNAcentral
GUUGUAUAGUCAAGUAAUGAAGUGCACAUGGUGGAUGCCUUGGCAGUCAGAGGCGAUGAAAGACGUGACAGCCUGCGAAAAGCGUCGGGGAGGCGGCAAUAUCCUGUGAUCCGGCGAUAUCUGAAUGGGGAAACCCACCUACCAUAAGGUAGGUACCCCGCUAUAUUUUAUAGCGGGGGGCAAACCGGGAGAAGUGAAACAUCUCAGUAACCCGAGGAAAAGACAUCAAUAGAGAUUCCCCUAGUAGCGGCGAGCGAACGGGGAGGAGCCGACUGAUUAUAAUUUAGAGGAAUGACUUGGAAAGGUCAAUCGUAGAGGGUGAUAAUCCCGUACUCGAAAGGUUAUAAGAAGCAUAUUAAGUAGGGCGGAACACGAGAAAUUCUGUCUGAA